This 253-nucleotide ribosomal RNA is filed under the name uncultured bacterium. RNAcentral describes it as "partial 16S ribosomal RNA". It matches the Rfam family "Bacterial small subunit ribosomal RNA", at positions 524 to 776 of the family's 1533-position model. The record is from RNAcentral.
UACGAAGGGGGCUAGCGUUGUCCGGAAUCAUUGGGCGUAAAGAGCGUGUAGGCGGCCCGGUAAGUCCGCUGUAAAAGUCAAAGGCUCAACCUUUGAAUGUCAGUGGAUACUGCCGGGCUAGGGUCCGGAAGAGGCGAGUGGAACUCCUGGUGUAGCGGUGGAAUGCGCAGAUAUCAGGAAGAACACCAACGGCGAAGGCAGCUCGCUAGGACGGUACUGACGCUGAGACGCGAAAGCGUGGGGAGCGAACAGG